RNAcentral lists this long non-coding RNA (468 nucleotides) under Medicago truncatula (barrel medic). RNAcentral describes it as "long non-coding RNA (MTRU_LNC007958)". The record is from RNAcentral. Lineage: Eukaryota; Viridiplantae; Streptophyta; Magnoliopsida; Fabales; Fabaceae.
AGUAAGUGCACAGAAGCUGAAAUGGGUUCACGUCUUUGUGAUUACUAUAAGUAGAAAACCUGACGUCACCCACCUCCAAGCGAUCUAGGCGUAAGCGGUAAUGGUGCACAUCUUUAUGCCCUCUAAUAGUAAGCCAUCUCCCAGCACAUGGUAUCUCCGGCUUCCACCCCGGGUUAGGCUUCCUUGGGUAAGGACCUGGCAAAUGCUCCAAAAUCCAUCCCUGCAACAAAAUAAAUAAUACACAAAAUUAAUUAUUCGAGUUAAAUAUUCAAUAAAUCUAAAACAUUAUAAAAUAAUCUAACAUGAUAAUAAAAUUUAUAAAAUAAAUUCAUAAAGAAAUUAAGAUAAAUAUUAAAUUAUUACGAUAAAAAGAGUCAUACAACCAGCCAUCGUUAUGUUAUUUAGGAUAUCAGAAUCAUCCAGAUAAUCGUACAUGUAAACUAAGGGCAUCCCUUCCCAUGACCACUU